AGCAAGGUUUUCUUUUUUGGGGAUCUCAUCUUUGUGAAGCUUUCUCCUGCAAACCUAGACUCUUUUGAUACAGGGUGGUGAAGUCCAGAGAGCUUCUUAAGAUGACUACAUAGGAUGAGAAGAACUAUUGACUAUUUACAGAGCUAUGCAAGACCACUUGUUGAGGAUUCAGAUGGGAGUUGUGGACAAAGAGCUUCAACAUGGAAGGAGGACAAUCUUAGCUGCUCUUGGUGGGAGAGAUGGUGCUGUCUGAUCUUUCAUUUGAAGAAUGUACAGUGGAAACAAAAUAAAUGCUUACUUGGCCAUAAUUUCUCAGUUGUGAGAACUGACCAGAUGAGGAGAGAAACAGAUGAGGAAGGAAGCUGUGGCCACAAGCGGGAAGAGUCAGCCUUCUCGUGCACGGCGCAUCUGCCACAGGCCAGCUAGCAGGACAGAGAAAGCAAGACCAGGAGGACAACAGCACUGUCAUUUCCAAGAUGUGGACACUGCCUCCAGCAAUUGAAGAGCAGCAGCAGGGCCGGUUUCAGCGGAUCACUGCAUUUGGAGGUACCCCUCGGACUCACAUAAUGUUUUUGGAGCAGCCCUGAGCGAUUAUCUCAGCAGAUACUGUAAAUAGCACUGGGAAACAGUAGGAAUCAUUUGCAUUUCAAAUUCAAAUACAUGUCCCAAGUGCUUAUCCAAUAUUUUGACUAUUUCUGGCAGUAACAAUUUUCAAACUGCAAUACUUAGAGCACAACUCCAAUCAUAUGUGUACAUAUACAGGGAUAUAUAUUGUAUUAUAUGUCUAUGGAUGUAUUUCUCCUUUUUUGUUAUGUGUAGCAUAUGAACCUAAAAUCACUAAAAGCGACAGCAGUAAAAAUAUUUGAAAGCUUUCCUGUAUAGAUGACAGAUGGACAACAGAUGCGUACCAGAGGUAUGCAAAGUCAAGCCUUUAACAGUUGACAAAUGCUAAAGGUUACGUUUCUAUCUCUAUCUGCACUGGUUCUAGCAGUACCUAAGAUAGAAUCCUCUAUCAGAUAUUCUUGUAAUACCCUCUGGUAUGUGCACAUCUAUUUAAAUGCAUACUUAACAUUUCUUUUAAGCCUUCUGGAACUUUUGUCUUGCUAAAUUUGCCAUCUUGUGAUUUCCAUCACCUACUGUUUAUGUACUUUUUGAAAACACGUAUGAUCUUGAAAGGAAAGCAAGGAGCAGAAGUGAAAUAUUUCAAAAAGAUAAAUCAUUUGUAAAAUCAUUUUUGGACUAAGCCUGUAUACCUGAUAACUAAGUAUGAGUGUUUCCCACACCUCUCUUUAAACAAAUAUAAUUAUUGAUCUUGUAAAGUAGCAAUCUUGCUAUAUUUCUUUCCUAUAUUGAACAGGAGGACAAAAUGAAGUUCUGUAAUUUACAUUUAUCUUAACACAGGAAAACAAGAGGUCAAAAACUACUGUGCGUUUCAUUUGUUAAUAUGGCUGUGAUAAAUGUGUAUGCAAUAGAAGGAGGUACAUACUGCACCUUGCAUUGCUGCACUGUCAUGUUGGGUUCCGUUGUGUUCUAUUUCCAUAUCUGGGAUUCCAGCAUCUGAAAGAUGUGACACUGAAGAUUAAUGCAUUCCCCUUUAUCCUCCUCUCAUGCAUCUUUAGAAAAAUAUUUAUAGCAAACUAAGGUGAUCAGCAAGUUGCACAGCUUCGCAUAAAACAUUUGGUCUUCACAGAAUUUUCUGUAGUAAAUCGUUUUCAGAAUGUGCAAACAUUACUGGUCUCACUGUGGAUCAUUUUUAAUGUGCUUCACAUUUGUCUGAUGAUCAGAUAAUAAUCAACACAUGAUAAUAAUGUAUCUGUAAAAUUCUUUUGGAGAAUAAAGGCAUCUGACAUAUGAAGAAUAAAAUGGAAAUUAAACUGUGGCAUUACUAAACCAAAUUUACUGUCUCAGGCAAAUACCUGCAAAAUAAGAGAAUUAAAGGAUACAGCCAGUACCAGUAAACAUGUCUGCAUCCAUGUGCAUGUUUGUAUGAGUGUAUUAUUGCAAACAGGGACAGUACUGUACCAGCUCAGGUUGUGUAAGAGUACUUCAUCACCCAAAGGAAGACUACAUAUGUGAUAUUAUGGGAAAGACUUCCAGGUACCUGAGAAGAGUUUUCCAGAGAGGACUGUGCUGUUUUUUUCC
RNAcentral lists this long non-coding RNA (2142 nucleotides) under Gallus gallus (chicken). Lineage: Eukaryota; Metazoa; Chordata; Aves; Galliformes; Phasianidae. The record is from RNAcentral.